GCCUGGGUGGCUCAGUCGGUUAAGCGUCUGACUUCGGCUCAGGUCAUGAUCUCACGGUCCGUGAGUUCGAGCCCCACGUCGGGCU
This 85-nucleotide transfer RNA is filed under the name Felis catus (domestic cat). It matches the Rfam family "tRNA". From Rfam's summary of the family: Transfer RNA (tRNA) molecules are approximately 80 nucleotides in length. Their secondary structure includes four short double-helical elements and three loops (D, anti-codon, and T loops). RNAcentral also lists the same sequence under 5 other names. The record is from Rfam by way of RNAcentral. Lineage: Eukaryota; Metazoa; Chordata; Mammalia; Carnivora; Felidae.